AGGGUUUGAUCCUGGCUCAGGAUGAACGCUGACAGAAUGCUUAACACAUGCAAGUCAAUGGGGAAACGGUGCUUGCACCGCGAUAACCAUGGCGGACGGGUGAGUAACGCGUAAAGAACUUGCCUCUUAGUCUGGGAUAACAGAUGGAAACGACUGAUAAGACUAGAUACUAUUAAAGCUUCGCAUGAAACUUUAAUGAAAAGAGAUGCUAAGAGAGAGCUUUGCGUCCUAUUAGUUAGUUGGUGAGGUAACGGCUCACCAAGACGAAGAUAGGUAGCCGGUCUGAGAGGAUGAACGGCCACAAGGGGACUGAGAUACGGCCCUU
Molecule: ribosomal RNA, 325 nt
Filed under: uncultured bacterium
Lineage: Bacteria
Description: bacterial SSU rRNA
Rfam family: Bacterial small subunit ribosomal RNA
Source: RNAcentral